AGCAGUAGCCGCGGUAAGACGAACCGUGCGAACGUUAUUCGGAAUUACUGGGCUUAAAGCGCGUGUAGGCGGGCCGCCACGUCGGUUGCUGAAAUCCCCCGGCUCAACCGGGGAAGUGGCAUCGAUACGAGCGGCCUUGUGGGGGGUAGGGGGAUCUGGAACUUCCGGUGGAGCGGUGAAAUGCGUUGAGAUCGGAAGGAACGCCCGUGGCGAAAGCGAGGUCCUGGACCCUUUCUGACGCUGAGACGCGAAAGCCAGGGGAGCGAACGGGAUUAGAUACCCCGGUAGUCCCUGUCUCUUAUA
This 303-nucleotide ribosomal RNA is filed under the name uncultured bacterium. RNAcentral describes it as "partial 16S ribosomal RNA". It matches the Rfam family "Bacterial small subunit ribosomal RNA", at positions 507 to 807 of the family's 1533-position model. The record is from RNAcentral.